UACAGAGGUGGCAAGCGUUGUUCGGAAUUACUGGGCGUAAAGGGCGCGUAGGCGGUCCCGUCAGUCCCUUGUGAAAUCCCCCGGCUCAACUGGGGAACUGCAAGGGAUACAGCGGGGCUUGAGUUCGGGAGAGGGAAGCGGAAUUCCGGGUGUAGCGGUGGAAUGCGUAGAGAUCCGGAAGAACACCGGUGGCGAAGGCGGCCUGCUGGGCAGUAGCUGACACUGAGGCGCGACAGCGUGGGGAGCAAACAGG
RNAcentral lists this ribosomal RNA (253 nucleotides) under uncultured bacterium. Its description in RNAcentral is "partial 16S ribosomal RNA". It matches the Rfam family "Bacterial small subunit ribosomal RNA", at positions 524 to 776 of the family's 1533-position model. The record is from RNAcentral.